RNAcentral lists this transfer RNA (540 nucleotides) under uncultured Prochlorococcus sp. RNAcentral's name for it is "partial 16S-23S ribosomal RNA intergenic spacer". The stretch from base 211 to 283 matches the Rfam family "tRNA". Lineage: Bacteria; Bacillati; Cyanobacteriota; Cyanophyceae; Synechococcales; Prochlorococcaceae. The record is from RNAcentral.
CAGGGAGACAACAAAAUGUUUAAUAUUAUUAUUUUGUCACCUUAGGUCGAUCGGUAUCUCACGUUCUUAAUUUGUUAAGAAUUUCAUUUCCUAAGUUUUUCUAGGUCACACCCAUUAUUUUUCCUGGGCCAUUAGCUCAGGUGGUUAGAGCGCACCCCUGAUAAGGGUGAGGUCCCUGGUUCAAGUCCAGGAUGGCCCAUACUCUAUGUUGGGGGUAUAGCUCAGUUGGUAGAGCGCCUGCUUUGCAAGCAGGAUGUCAGCGGUUCGAGUCCGCUUACCUCCACUGAUUACCACCUCUUCCAUAACCGGUAGAAAGGAAAUGUUUUGAGUUGUGAUCAUUAUUCUGAACGAAUCUAGCUUCCUAAUGAAACCAUUAAGAUGCUGGACUCAUUGAAUUAAUUUCAUUGUUUUCAGAGAACCUUGACAACUGCAUAGAUUUUUUUAAAGACAAUAAGCAUCUUUAAUGAUGCAGAUUUAUUAUUUGUGCGAAUGCAUUAAUAACAAUUCUAUUAAGCUGAUGCUUCAAUUUUUGAAGUUAUU